Molecule: unclassified non-coding RNA, 231 nt
Filed under: plant metagenome
Description: partial contains small subunit ribosomal RNA, internal transcribed spacer 1, and 5.8S ribosomal RNA
Source: RNAcentral
UCUCCGUUGGUGAACCAGCGGAAGGAUCAUUACAGAGUUGCCAAACUCCCAAACCAUUGUGAACGUUACCUAUCCCGUUGCUGCUGCGGGCGGCCCGGACCACGCGUCCGGCGCCCCCCGGCCACCCGUGGGCGCCCGCCGGAGGUAAACCAAACCCUGUAAUUGCAUGGCCUCUCUGAGUCUUCUGUACUGAAUAGGUCAAAACUUUCAACAACGGAUCUCUUGGUUCUG